AGUGAACACUGGCGGUAGGCCUAACACAUGCAAGUCGAACGGCAGCACAGUAAGAGCUUGCUCUUACGGGUGGCGAGUGGCGGACGGGUGAGGAAUACAUCGGAAUCUACUUUUUCGUGGGGGAUAACGUAGGGAAACUUACGCUAAUACCGCAUACGACCUACGGGUGAAAGCAGGGGAUCUUCGGACCUUGCGCGAUUGAAUGAGCCGAUGUCGGAUUAGCUAGUUGACGGGGUAAAGGCCCACCAAGGCGACGAUCCGUAGCUGGUCUGAGAGGAUGAUCAGCCACACUGGAACUGAGACACGGUCCAGACUCCUACGGGAGGCAGCAGUGGGGAAUAUUGGACAAUGGGCGCAAGCCUGAUCCAGCCAUACCGCGUGGGUGAAGAAGGCCUUCGGGUUGUAAAGCCCUUUUGUUGGGAAAGAAAAGCAGCAGGUUAAUACCCCGCUGUUCUGACGGUACCCAAAGAAUAAGCACCGGCUAACUUCGUG
Molecule: ribosomal RNA, 492 nt
Filed under: uncultured bacterium
Lineage: Bacteria
Description: partial 16S ribosomal RNA
Rfam family: Bacterial small subunit ribosomal RNA
Source: RNAcentral